Molecule: long non-coding RNA, 3405 nt
Filed under: Salmo salar (Atlantic salmon)
Lineage: Eukaryota; Metazoa; Chordata; Actinopteri; Salmoniformes; Salmonidae
Description: lncRNA (ENSSSAG00000077840.2)
Source: RNAcentral
AGUUCAUAAGUGGGUUGGUCGCGCCCACUAACUCCGGCUCCAUGGGAACCGGGACUUUUGGACGAAGAACUCGGUUGAACCGCGAGGAGGAGGAAGAUUUGUGACAGCGCACAAGGAAGGACACGCCUGCUCGUUACAUCGACAGUUUGUGUGGGUAGACCGUGCGUGUUGUUCUGACGGAGAAUUUAUAAUACUCACCUCUACUCAAUGAACCUACCUUUCGCUUGUUAUUUUGUCCCCGACGGUUGUGGUUUUCUGCGUCAUAGCAACAGAGAUGUAAAUCAAGUUAGCCUCCACCUCUUCAUUUGAUAUGCAGCUACUGACAUAACCAGGAGCGCUGAAGUGACAGAGUGCAGCGGAAGAUGGACAUCCGGAGUGGCAUACAAAAGGCAGUGGAGCCCCUCCCUGCCUCUCUCCCCUCUUCCCCUCAACAGUCGGGUGCCCAUCAGCAGAGCGAGCCGGAGGACAGCCAGGCAGAACGGAGUGCCAGGCCCACCGCUGACAACCACAGCAACGACACCCAGCCAGCCGCCGGCCACCGAGACGACAAAAAAUAUUUCAGUGUGGAGUCCAUUGAUGGAGUCCAUAUGUUUCAUGAAGCCAUUAGAAGACUGUUGCUGACUGAGAUGAGUCUGGCACUAACCCAGAACUAUCAGAAGCAUCUUUCUUUCGGCUGCUGCUGACAACAACUGCAUGACCUGAGCCCUAGGACCAUGCCUCAGGACUACCUGGUAUGAUGACUCCUUGCUGUCCCCAGUCCACCUAGCCGUGCUGCUGCUCCAGUUUCAACUGUUCUGCCUGCAGCUAUGGAACCCUGACCUGUUCACCGGACGUGCUUGUUGCACCCUCGACAACUACUAUGAUUAUUAUUAUUUGACCAUGCUGGUCAUUUAUGAACAUUUUAACAUUUUAACAUCUUGACCAUGUUCUGUUAUAAUAUCCACCCUGCACAGCCAGAAGAGGACUGGCCACCCCUCAUAGCGUGGUUCCUCUCUAGGUUUCUUCCUAGGUUUUUGGCCUUUCUAGGGAGUUUUUCCUAGGGAGUUUUUCCUAGCCACCGUGCUUCUUUCACAUGCUUUGCUUGCUGUUUGGGGUUUUAGGCUGGGUUUCUGUACAGCACUUUGAGAAUAUCAGCUGAUGUACGAAGGGCUAUAUAAAAAUACAUUUGAUUUGAAAUAUGGUUUUCGUGCUGCGUGACUGGGUCCUUAAGCCCUUGCUGCUGUUCAGGGGCUGCCCACAAGGGGGGAGGAGAAAUUCGCACAAUUAAUUGAGGCUGGAUUUAGAGUCCGGUUGCGUGUCAGGGAAGCUCCCAAAACGCAAACUAUGUAAAAUAUGUUGGGGGGGAUGCGAAAUUCAUGGAAGCCACGUCGUCUCCAUUUCCUUUCUAAGUGUUAGUAUGUUUUAUUCAGCUGGAGCAUCAGUUUCACAGAGGUUGUGUCCCAAAUGGCACCCUAUUCCCUAUAUAGGGCACGACUUUAUAAGGCUCUGGUCAAAAGUAGUGCACUAUAUAGGGAAAAGGUUCAAUUUGGGAGGCAACCAGAGACUGGGAAAAGGAGACUGUCCUAGUUUAGCAUAAUAGAUCUUCCUGUCAGAUCAAAUCAGCCUCUGGUGUUUACAGUCAAUCAUCUAUGGAAUGACAACAAUCCAGCCCAAGACCGCUGCGGUCAUAUAAGGAGUUCAAAGACCUACUAAUUAAAUGAAAUAUUCGGUUUAAAACCCACUGAUUCCUAGAAGGGGUGUUCAUGAUCAAUUUUUUGAACUGCCGAAUGAUAAACUAUAUUCCCAAUUCUGUGAACAGACAGAAUGGCACCAUUGCAUGAUUUCGGCCACAUCAAGUUCAUCAUGAUCAAGAGGUAAAGUGUAGAGAUGGUCCGUGUUUCCCUGUGCAUCAGCUCUAAUCUCAGUAACGAUUGGAUUGCUCGUCUCUGAGCAGAGAGAGUAAAUCCGGCAAACAAUUGUCGAAUGCCUUAUCCCCCUGUUUACAGCGAGCCUUCAAUCGAUAUCCAUGGAGCGCUCGAAUAAACAAACCCUAAAAGCAGAGCUUCUGCUAGCCUCGGAGAUCCCAGCUGUAACAAUGAUUCAUUUUAACAACCAGAGCUAAUUGUCUCCCAAACUUUAGUUAACAGCCAAUAUGAUCUGGCCCUGGGUGCUUUUCUCCACUGUAAUGAAGAAUAAUGAGGGAUGGAAUUACUGCUGGCACUUUUUUCAGGUGGAUUUGUUCGAAAGCAGAGGGCAGAGGGGGCCGAGUCUGUGAAUGAAGAGAGAGCCUGGAACGUAUUUGUCGGGAGAGUUCAACUGCGGAGCUCUUGGUUCAAAUUGAAUGACAUCGGGAAAUCAGAGCCUUGUGUUACAUGGAGGAAUUAGAUCUCUGUGUUUUAUGUUAUUCUUGUCGAGGAUUUGCUCAAUGCUCGCGGGGCAUUGUAUGCCGUCAGACAUCUUGUGAGGCACUUACAGUGCCUUCAGAAAGUAUUCAUACCCCUUGACUUAUUUCAUAUUGUGUUACAGCCUGAAUUCAAAAUGGAUUACAUAUUUUUUUCUCACCCAUCUUCACACAAUACCCUGUAAUGACAAAGUGAAAACAUGUUUUUAGACAUUUUUGCAAAUGUAUUGACAAUGAAAUACAUAAAUUAGAAUUCACACCCCUGAGUCAAUGCAUGUUUGGAAUCACCUUUGGCAGCGUUUACAGCUGUGAGCCUUUCUGGGUAUGUCUCUAAGAGAUUUCCACACCUUGAUUGUGCAAAUUUGGCCAUUAUUCUUUUCAAAAUUCUUCAAGCUCUGUCAAAUGGGUUGUUGAUCAUCGCUAGACAACUGUUGCGGUCAGUGGCGUUUCAGAUGACGGAGGAUGAUUCAUUGUUUUAUGAGCAUGGCCGUAUUUCUAUUACAGCAUAUUGGAUGACUGUCAUUCAUAUUCCAUUCACCCAGUUCAAUAUAACAUUGAUAGGUUUAGGCUACUACAUGAUACUCACAUUUUCCCUGUAACCGUCAUGAGGUUGCUACAACCCAGCCUAUGAAUGAAAGUUUACAAUGUAGGUGCACGGGUCGAGAGAAAAAUUUGAGUAAUCAAGGUGACAGACAAUGUCACGGAUCCCUCCAGAACUGUGUCAUUACGCACACCUGGUCCCUAUUCCCAUUGAUUAGUAAUUGUGUAAGUGUGCCCAUUGUUCAACAUUGUCCUGUCGAUUAUUGUUCCAAUAUCCGUUGGUACGUGUGAAUACCUGUGCUGUGUGUUUUGGCUUUCGUGCCAUUGUGGAUUGCGCAGAUGAUUACGGGCCUCGUCCCGUGUGAUAUCAUUGAGCACUUGUGUGUUUCGGGUCUCUCCCCAGUGUAUUUAUUCCAGGUACUCCUCACUCUUUUGUUUGGGGUUCAACACUGUAUUUUGUAUACGUGUUUGUUUGGUCUUCGUCC